ACGGCCCUGAAUCAAGGCCGACAGCUUCCUGACACUGUUGGUUUCAACAGGAGCCUAAAGAGAUGUCUUUCUAUGGUCUGUUGGCCAUUUCAGAAUUUGGGCAGUAAAAUGGUCAUUCAUUAGAAAGAAACAGCU
Molecule: small nucleolar RNA, 135 nt
Organism: Cavia aperea (Brazilian guinea pig)
Lineage: Eukaryota; Metazoa; Chordata; Mammalia; Rodentia; Caviidae
Source: Ensembl